This 300-nucleotide unclassified non-coding RNA is filed under the name Hevea brasiliensis (rubber tree). The record is from RNAcentral. Lineage: Eukaryota; Viridiplantae; Streptophyta; Magnoliopsida; Malpighiales; Euphorbiaceae.
GCAAGUAUGAUUUCCUCUUGUUCAGAUCACCUGACUCCCAAGACCAGGUGGGACACUUGGAUACGAGAUUAUCACCGGCGAUGAUGAACUCAGAGACACUGAGAACGCCUUUCUCUUUGAAGGCGGAGACGGUUCGAGGGCCUGUGAUUCUCUCAACAGUUCCUUUGAAGGCUUCGUGAAGCUUCUGCGACAAAACCAUGAUCUCAAUCUGUCUGGGAUUAAUUGAUAGAUGAAUUCAGAUGAAAGAAAUUGGAAAUUGGAAGAGAAAUUUGGAAUCCCCAACGGAAGCUUGACUCUGAU